Molecule: ribosomal RNA, 510 nt
Filed under: uncultured bacterium
Lineage: Bacteria
Description: bacterial SSU rRNA
Rfam family: Bacterial small subunit ribosomal RNA
Source: RNAcentral
UGAGGAAUUUUGGGCAAUGGGCGAAAGCCUGACCCAGCAAUGCCGCGUGAACGAUGAAGUCCUUCGGGAUGUAAAGUUCGUAAGCAGGAGAAGAACACAAUGACGGUAUCCUGUGUAAGCCCCGGCUAACUACGUGCCAGCAGCCGCGGUAAUACGUAGGGGGCAAGCGUUGUUCGGAUUUACUGGGCGUAAAGGGCGCGUAGGCGGCGCGUAAAGUCGGACGUGAAAUCACUGGGCUUAACCUAGUGGCUGUGUCCGAUACUUGCGUGCUUUGAGUGCGGGAGAGGCAAUCGGAAUUCUCGGUGUAGCGGUGAAAUGCGUAGAUAUCGAGAGGAACUCCGGUGACGAAGGUGGGUUGCUGGACCGACACUGACGCUGAGGCGCGAAAGCUAGGGGAGCAAACGGGAUUAGAUACCCCGGUAGUCCUAGCCCUAAACGAUGAAUACUUGGUGUGCGGGUUUCUUAGUACCCGCGUGCCGUAGCUAACGCGAUAAGUAUCCGCCUGGGAGA